UGAAAGGAGCAGCUGUCCUUCUACAAGUGAUGGUUAGUUCUUUUAAUACUUCAUGAUAGGCUUUUUGCCUACAGUCCAUAUGGGGCACCGCAACCUAACUUGCUUAUGACAUAAUCAGCGUAUCUUAGUUUGGAAGAGUUCUGUUGUAUUAGGUUUCAUUUUCCUUUUUUUCAGGUUCUUCAGCUACCAUGUCUGUAUUCCACUUAAUAAUUUUCAUCUGUUUCCUUUUAUCAAUAAGCUACCUUGUCUUUCUUACUUCUGCGUCAUGGUGCCCACCCUCAGCCUUUCCUCAACAAACAACUCGACAAUUUGAACAGAGAACGGACCGUUUCUGGGAGUUUCAAGAGGAAUCCAACAUCUGGGUUGAAGUGAAACUUCCUUUUGAUCUUGUAUCUUGUGUUAAUGACAACUGUACAAAAGUGGGUUUGAUUGAUCAAACAUCAAAGACUGAAGAAGAGCACCUAGCAAAUGGAAAAGAUGUUUCUAACAAAACGAAGAACUUAAAAAUGAGGGAAGGUGAUUUGACGGGACUGGAGGAGAAUUCUUAUACUGUUCUACCUCUAAGAAGAAGAAUGUCUUUGACUAAAAUGUCGGAUACAUCCGUUUGGGUUACCGGUGAAAGUGGGUCUAUCUAUGAAAGGUUCUGGAAUGGAGUUCAAUGGGUGAUAGCACCACAUGACUUGCAGAUAUCAGCAGGUCGUGCAGUUUCUGUUUUGAUAGUCAAUCAGACAAUUUUUGCUAUUUCUGAGGAAGGAAAUCUAUAUCAGAUGAAACUCAGUGAUUGGGUGGAGUUGAAACCUGCAUUCAAUCAAAGUACAAACAAAGAAGCAGAACAGAGUUCAGUGAUUCAGAUGAAGUCCGGCACCGUUUCAUAUGAUGGACUGAGAGUUUAUUUCUGUACAAAGACUGGCUUGUUGUUAGAGCUCAGUGAGGUUGAGCCUCCAAGGUGGGAGAAUCAUGGCCGGCCACCAGGAGCAGAUGUUGCUGCAAUAGCUGAUAUGGCUAGAAUUAGAACAGAUGUAGUAUAUACAAUAAGUUCUACAGGUGAUCUCUAUGAAUAUGAUAAGAGCUCAAGGCCAUCAUGGAAGAAGCAUCUACAGAGUGAAGAAACAGAUAAGGAUGGUUCUCUAGUACCAUUACAGGGGUGCAUGAUAUAUGGCUUGAGUGGAGACCACUCUGUAUCCUUGUUUCUCCUAACCAAGGGAGGUAAACUGGUAGAGAGACGGCUACAUCAAAGGAAAUGGAAAUGGAUAACCCAUGGAAGUCCAGAAGAUCAUCACCUGACAUCUAUUACUCCCUUGCUUGAAGAUGAGCUGAAAGAAAGGUUCUUCUCAUUGUUUCUCACAACAUCCACUGGAUCAGUUUUUGAGUAUCAAAUACCAAAACAUUUGGGCACAGCUCAAGAGGACCAAAUUUCAGAAGCAUGGCAGAAUCAUAUGCAUCCACCGAACGCAAAAGCUGCAAGAGGUAUUCCAGGACUAAAGUUUCAACUUGGCAGGAUACUGUUUGCAUUGGAUGAUGGGAGACUUGCAGAGUUACAUCUACCUGGCCUAGGUGGUCAAAAUUCAGGGCCAACAAAUCAAUUUAACCGAAAAAAAUUAUCAUCUAAGUACAUCUGGUCAAUUUUAGAUGCCCCUGAAUCAGAAGGAUGGAAUGGAGAGUAUUGUACAGAAGAACGUGGACCAAUGAACUGCAUAGCAGGUAUAAAAGAUGAACCAAAUGAUUCAGGAAACAUCAGAUCGCUGACAAGAAGGAGAAAGGGUACUAAAGCACAACAGGAUUAUUUAUCUCUAGGUACACCCAGGAGUAGAUUAGUGAAAGCAUCAGAAGAGUAUAGGUUCCCAGAUAACUGGAUCAACACUAGCUUUCGACUGAGACUGGUGCAAGCAGGCGUAUCAUUUUUUAUUAUAACAGAAGCUGGUUUGAUCUUUGAAUACCUUUACACUGAAAGUGUAUGGCUGUGGUUAAGACAUGAUCAUUCAACACCUAUGAGAGGUGCCCUAGGAAACUACAAUGGAAGUGUAUUUUUUGUUGACGUGUAUGGAACCUUGCUUAUCAGAGAAAGGAGCAACAAUGAGCUAGCAUGGAUUAAUUGCACAGCAAUGAGAAAAGGAAGGCAAAUUAUUGGAGGUCCUCCUUGGGAUGGUAUGUCAGGUAAACUGAAAGUCACAGCAGAAGAUGCACUCUUCUUUGUCAGCAAAAGUGGGCGACUACUGCAGUUCAGUGUUGCCCUAAGGAAGUUCAAAUGGAAAGAUUGUCGCAACCCUCCAGAAACAAAACUUGCAUGCAUAAUAGACCAAGAAGUUUUUAGGGAAAAUAUAGUGUUUGUUGUUGGAAGAAAUGGCCGGCUCUACCAGUAUAACAAAGUGACUGAGUUGUGGCAUGAGCAUCACCAAUCUCAACAUUUGGUUCUAUCCAGGCUGCCAGGAACUGCUAUGAGGCCUUCAUUCUUUUCACUAACAGGUUCACUUUUCAUGCUUUCAGAAGAUGGUGGACUAGUUGAAUAUCACUGGAAUGCAUGGAAUGGUUGGAACUGGGUGGAACACGGCACUCCCAGCAAAGAUGUCACCUUGGUUGCUCCCCCUAGCCCAUGUAUCAAGGGCAAUCAAUUGUUUUUAAUAGGUUCAGAUGGAAACAUAUACCUAAGGUACAUGGACCAAUUGAUCUGGAGAUGGAAGAACUGUGGUUUCCCACAGAAUGGAGACGGAGAUACAAGAGAUCAAACAGAAAUGGGAGCAAAUGAUAGAAUGCAAGAAGUUUGCAUGGAUAACGAUCCCACAGCUAAUUUAGAUAUCAAUUUGGAGAACCCAAAUGAUCAGAACAGAAAAUGUGACCCAAAGGUUGCUCCUACAAGACCAAUUCCAUUUUCUGAAGAUUCAGUAAUAUUCGAGCUAAGAGAUGGCAGAUUGGCAGAAAUUCAGAAAGUUCAGGACUCGAAAUGGGUUUGGCAGCGGGUAAUUGGCACUCCAACAAGCUCAUGCAAGGGAAGUUAUCUGACAGGUCAAGAACGACGACGUUUUGGGGGUUGUUGUUGGUCGGAAUUGGAACCCUUAUCUUGCCUGGAUUUCUCUUCACCGCGUUUAUGUCGAAGCUUCUUCCGCCCUCCAAUUACCCUCUGAUUGCAGCCAUUCGAAACGACAGGUAUUACUGCUAUUUGGUGCCCUUAACGCUUCCCAUACUUGUGAUUGCUGUAUAUUUCCAUUGGCUUAGCAUGAAAUUAUUCAAGCAUGCAUGACAUUUGUGGAACCAACCAACAAUUUCCAGAAAAUGAUAUUUGGAAAUAAGAGCAAACCUGAGGGGUGGUUCCUUCACUGCAUAUUUCAAAUGAAUUCCCAGUUAUUGCAGGGAUUUUUUGUAACUAUCUGGUAUAUUUGGGGCAUGCCCAAGAAGGGAAAACAUGAGGGUCUUAAACUCGGUGUGGAUUUUCAAACAAGUUUUAUUGAUACUUACCUGUUGGAUUACUCUGCCGCCUCACACUUGACGGUCCCAUUCUAUCUGCGAAUGGUAUCCACCACCUUCUGGGAUCGUUAAAUUAAAUUUUGAUGGUAUGGGUUGGGUGUUGUUGCACGCAUUGAGUUUGACGAGGUUCUUGUAUUGGCGGCCAGCCCGGUUUUGCAUGCAGCAUCCCUUUCUGUUGUGGAAGGUUCGGCAAGCCUGCGAGCACUAUGUGGGUUUGCAACAUAUUAUUCUCGAAGGUGAUUUUCUUACCGUCUUGAAGAAGCUUUGGAGUACGUUGUCUGACCGGUCUGCAAUCUCCCCUGUCAUCGCGGAUGCGAAAGACUGUUAGCAAAUUUUCACUCAUGUUGGGAAGACAGGUAAUAGCUUAGCCUAUGAAUUGGCUCAAAUGGGAAGAGUUGAGGCAUCUGAGCGAGUUUGGAUGGAGGAAGUUCCACGGCAUAUAUUGGCUUUUGCUAUAUUGGCCUUUUUAUCUUUUUAAAUAAUAUUAUUAAUAUUUAAACAAUCAUACUUAUCUUCUUAUAAUAUUUAAAUAAUCCAUGACAUUUAAUA
Gossypium raimondii (Peruvian cotton) is the source of this 4008-nucleotide RNA transcript. RefSeq lists it as uncharacterized. NCBI's taxonomy places the organism in Eukaryota, Viridiplantae, Streptophyta, Magnoliopsida, Malvales, Malvaceae. The transcript is spliced from 13 exons. The record is from RefSeq and is a predicted model, not a curated record.